AAGAAGUCAUGCAUGAAAAGUGAGACAAAAAGUACACGAGGGAGAGUACAGAGUCGUGCUGCAUGCCUGCUUCCAAUAUCAGCCUCCCCCGAUGGAUGUCAGUCGAUCAUCAACAACAUGCGACAGGACGAUGUGUCAUUUCACAUCAGAAGGGAUUCCCUGAUUUGCAAGUAUGGUGAAUCGUUAUAUGCAAAACAUGGCCGCGUGAAGUCCAGGCACCAGUACAUUGCUCAAAGAAUGCGGGAGCUUGGCCGCUUCAUGUUAGUUGCUAAAGAUAUGGACAAGACUGUCAACGCUCUAGAAGAUUUGUGUGUACCAUCCAGAUUUCAGCUUGUUGUCAAUAUUGCUAAGCGUCUUACACAGUUCAGUCCAGGCAAAAAUGAAUAUGGAAAACCUUCAACAGCAGUCAAAAUUGGAUUCUGCCUUAAAGGGGCUGUGGAGGUCAUGAUUGGACAGGCUCUUAUGAAUGAUGACGAUCUGGCAGAGAAGAAAGCAAAAAAAUUCUAUGAACUCUUGGAAAAAAAUUGGAGGAACAGUGUUUCUAUCUCCGCUCACCAAACCAUACAAGAAAACAAAUGGAAUAAAGAAGAUGACAUCCCCCUCACCAGAAAUGUGAUUGCUCUGAGAGACCAUCUCAGGCUGGUAGAAGACAAAGCAAGAGAGGAACUGACUCCGCAAAUGAGUUUAAGAGCAUACAAGGCAUUAAAUGAGACUGUUCUGGCGCAGGUCAUUAUUUUCAACAAGCGGCGGGAAGGGGAAGCAUCACGCUUGACUCUUGAGAUCUACAAGAAAGCAAGCACAAGUGCCAUUAAUGAGGACAUCUAUGAAACCUUGUCACCAUUAGAAAAGGAGCUGAGUAAGAUAUUAACUCGCAUCGAAAUUAGGGGGAAAAGAGGAAAGAAGGUUCCAGUUUUCUUGACCGAGAGAAUGAAAGAGUCAAUCGAUUUGUUGGUCAAAAGGAGAGAAGAAGCUGGUGUACUUGCUCAAAAUCCCUAUCUCUUUGCAAGACCUGGUGUGAUGACAAACAUACGUGGAUGUGACUGUCUGCGUAAAUCUGCAGAAGAAAGCAAAGCAGAAAACCCCGAACUCCUAAGGUCAACUUAAUUAAGAAAACAGGUUGUCACACUCUGCCAACUCUUGGACCUUACUGAACAAGAGCUGGAGCAAGUUGCACGGUUCAUGGGUCAUGACAUCAGAGUACACCGGGACUUUUACAGACAGACUGACAAAACAUUUCAAAUUACCAAAAUAAGUAAGCUUCUGUUCGCAAUGGAGCAAGACACUGUGAGCUUUCGAAGAAAGAACCUUAACACGCUUCAUCCAUCAGUAUGCGG
Molecule: long non-coding RNA, 1334 nt
Organism: Carassius auratus (goldfish)
Lineage: Eukaryota; Metazoa; Chordata; Actinopteri; Cypriniformes; Cyprinidae
Source: Ensembl